AGCAGAGGACUGAAAAUCCUCGUGUCAA
RNAcentral lists this transfer RNA (28 nucleotides) under Aptychella pseudobrevinervis. RNAcentral describes it as "partial trnF". The record is from RNAcentral. Lineage: Eukaryota; Viridiplantae; Streptophyta; Bryopsida; Hypnales; Pylaisiadelphaceae.